This 553-nucleotide ribosomal RNA is filed under the name uncultured archaeon. RNAcentral's name for it is "bacterial SSU rRNA". It matches the Rfam family "Archaeal small subunit ribosomal RNA", at positions 313 to 863 of the family's 1478-position model. The record is from RNAcentral.
GCGAAUCGCCCUUCGGGGUGCACCAGGCGCGAAAACUUUACAAUGCCUGCAACGGCAAUCAGGGAACCUCGAGUGCCAGGUUACUAAUCUGGCUGUCGUGAUGCCUAAAAAGCAUUGCAUACCAAGGGCCGGGCAAUACCGGUGCCAACCGCCGCGGUAACACCGGCGGCUCGAGUGGUAACCGUUUAUUAUUGGGUCUAAAGGGUCUGUACCCGGCCGGGUAAGUCUCUUGGGAAAUCUGGCAGCUUAACUGAUCAAGCUUUCAGGAGAUACUGUCUGGCUCGAGGCCGGGAGAGGUGAGAGGUACUUCAGGGGUAGGGGUGAAAUCUUGUAAUCCUUGAAAGACCACCAGUGGAGAAAGCGUCUCACCAGAACGAACCUGACGGCCAGGGACCAAAGCUAGGGGCACGAACACGGAUUAUAUACCCGGGUAGUCCUAGCCGUAAACGAUACUCGCUAGGUGUCGGCCACUGUGCAACCGUGGUCGGUGCCCUACGGAAGACGUGAAUCGAGCCACCUGGGAAGUACUGUCGCGAGGUUGAAACUUAAAGGA